RNAcentral lists this ribosomal RNA (429 nucleotides) under Verrucomicrobiota bacterium. RNAcentral describes it as "Verrucomicrobia bacterium partial 16S ribosomal RNA". It matches the Rfam family "Bacterial small subunit ribosomal RNA", at positions 355 to 776 of the family's 1533-position model. Lineage: Bacteria; Pseudomonadati; Verrucomicrobiota. The record is from RNAcentral.
UAGGGAAUCUUCCGCAAUGGACGAAAGUCUGACGGAGCAACGCCGCGUGAGUGAAGAAGGAUUUCGGUUCGUAAAACUCUGUUGGUAGGGAAGAAAAAAUGUAUAGUAACGAUAUACAAAAGAGACGGUACCUAACCAGAAAGCCACGACUAACUACGUGCCAGCAGCCGCGGUAAUACGUAGGUGGCAAGCGUUGUCCGGAAUUAUUGGGCGUAAAGCGCGCGCAGGUGGUUUAGAAAGUCUGAUGUGAAAGCCCACGGCUCAACCGUGGAGGGUCAUUGGAAACUAAUAAACUUGAGUGCAGGAGAGAAAAGUGGAAUUCCUAGUGUAGCGGUGAAAUGCGUAGAGAUUAGGAGGAACACCGGUGGCGAAAGCGGCUUUCUGGCCUGCAACUGACACUGAGGCGCGAAAGCGUGGGGAGCAAACAGG